This is a long non-coding RNA of Pezoporus flaviventris, 409 nucleotides long. RefSeq lists it as uncharacterized. The record is from RefSeq and is a predicted model, not a curated record. The transcript is spliced from 3 exons. NCBI's taxonomy places the organism in Eukaryota, Metazoa, Chordata, Aves, Psittaciformes, Psittacidae.
GCUUUUUGCAUGUGCAGUAUAAGACUUCUUCACCCUGGUGAUGUGUAUAAAGUCCUCAAAGAGGCUCAGAACAACUCAUGCUGUGGAUGAGAAGGGGUGUCAUGGCUGGACAACGAACUGCGUGCCACUGUAGCGUACCACACACGAUAUUCUGGAGUUCCCUGCCACUGUUCCCUGUUCAGACAAGCCUCAAGUACUCGGACAAAGUAAUGGAGAGAGCGAAAACAUGGACUGACAGAGGACCUUCUGGCAGUCUGUUUUGCAAAGGAAGUAAACAAGACUACUUUUUAACAGACGAAGAAUGAAAAAUGUCUGUGAAGCUAAACUGGAAGAUGUAGAACCAACAGCUGUGAAAACUCUAACGGAGCAGUCAUUGCAUCAUGCCAGGAAACACCUCUGCCCAAAGACA